GCAAACUUGGUCAUUUAGAGGAAGUAAAAGUCGUAACAAGGUUUCCGUAGGUGAACCUGCGGAAGGAUCAUUAAAGAGAUCAACGAGGCAACUCGUUGUAUUUCACACCCUUUGUUAUUUAUUCUAGUUGCUUUGGCGGAGUCAAUCUGCCAAAGGAUAUAUAAACCCUUUUUUGUUAACCAAUAAUGUGGAUUCUUGUCUGAUUAAUGUUACUUUAAUAGUUACAAAACUUUCAACAACGGAUCUCUUGGUUCUGGCAUCGAUGAAGAACGCAGC
This 276-nucleotide unclassified non-coding RNA is filed under the name uncultured fungus. RNAcentral's name for it is "partial contains small subunit ribosomal RNA, internal transcribed spacer 1, and 5.8S ribosomal RNA". The stretch from base 1 to 73 matches the Rfam family "Eukaryotic small subunit ribosomal RNA", at positions 1759 to 1831 of the family's 1831-position model. The record is from RNAcentral. Lineage: Eukaryota; Fungi.